RNAcentral lists this long non-coding RNA (551 nucleotides) under Sorghum bicolor (sorghum). Its description in RNAcentral is "long non-coding RNA (SBIC_LNC005590)". The record is from RNAcentral. Lineage: Eukaryota; Viridiplantae; Streptophyta; Magnoliopsida; Poales; Poaceae.
UGAUGCUCUGUGCACUGUGCUGUCCCGCGGCCCGUCCAUGGCGCCGACGACCCCUUCUCCCCGUCACGGACCACCCACGAGCGCCCCACGAUCGCCCAAUUCCUCUGCCACUGCCACCACCACAUGACCCAAGCAAAUUGGCGCGCGCGCGCCCAGUUUUCUCUGCUGGUGGCGGUGCGAUUUGGCGCUGGUGCGCUACACACACCACACUGCCCGCCUCCAUCCGCGCCAGACAAACGCGCCGUUCCACCCGUAGGGCCCGAAAGCCUGCGGCCGGAACUCCCAAAAGGCCAGCACGGGCCACGGGCACAGGCACAAAGCCUUUUCGAAAGCUUUGUAGACUGUCUAUUUCCCAAUCUUGCUUUUAGUUGCUGCUUAAAUAAAUACUAGUAAUUUGAACAUCCCAUGACGUGAAUCCCUUUCGCUACAACGUCGAGCCUAAUACACCUAUCCAGGGCCGUGCUACUUCUCACUAAAACCGAGAGGAACCGUAACGUAUGAUGUACUAGGGCACAUGACGGCAGGGGAGCAAUGGUCUGGUAUGGUACUAG